RNAcentral lists this ribosomal RNA (768 nucleotides) under Haemophilus sp. HMSC073C03. RNAcentral's name for it is "bacterial LSU rRNA". It matches the Rfam family "Bacterial large subunit ribosomal RNA", at positions 410 to 1182 of the family's 2925-position model. The record is from RNAcentral. Lineage: Bacteria; Pseudomonadati; Pseudomonadota; Gammaproteobacteria; Pasteurellales; Pasteurellaceae.
AAGUAGGGCGGGACACGUGAUAUCCUGUUUGAAGAUGGGGGGACCAUCCUCCAAGGCUAAAUACUCCUGAUUGACCGAUAGUGAACCAGUACUGUGAAGGAAAGGCGAAAAGAACCCCGGUGAGGGGAGUGAAAUAGAACCUGAAACCUUGUACGUACAAGCAGUGGGAGCCUUUUAAGGGUGACUGCGUACCUUUUGUAUAAUGGGUCAGCGACUUAUAUUUUGUAGCGAGGUUAACCGAAUAGGGGAGCCGAAGGGAAACCGAGUCUUAACUGGGCGUCUAGUUGCAAGGUAUAGACCCGAAACCCGGUGAUCUAGCCAUGGGCAGGUUGAAGGUUGGGUAACACUAACUGGAGGACCGAACCGACUAAUGUUGAAAAAUUAGCGGAUGACUUGUGGCUGGGGGUGAAAGGCCAAUCAAACCGGGAGAUAGCUGGUUCUCCCCGAAAUCUAUUUAGGUAGAGCCUUGAGCGGACACCUUCGGGGGUAGAGCACUGUUUCGGCUAGGGGUCCAUCCCGGAUUACCAACCCGAUGCAAACUACGAAUACCGAAGAGUGAUACUCAGGAGACACACGGCGGGUGCUAACGUCCGUCGUGGAGAGGGAAACAACCCAGACCGCCAGCUAAGGUCCCAAAGUCUAUAUUAAGUGGGAAACGAAGUGGGAAGGCUUAGACAGCUAGGAUGUUGGCUUAGAAGCAGCCAUCAUUUAAAGAAAGCGUAAUAGCUCACUAGUCGAGUCGGCCUGCGCGGAAGAUGUAACGGGGCU